RNAcentral lists this ribosomal RNA (446 nucleotides) under Diplectrona sp. CN1. Its description in RNAcentral is "partial 28S ribosomal RNA". Lineage: Eukaryota; Metazoa; Arthropoda; Insecta; Trichoptera; Hydropsychidae. The record is from RNAcentral.
AACGGGGAGAUUCAUUCAUCGCUCUUCCGUCGGAGUCCGCGUGUCGCGCGCCUCGGCGACUCCGGCGUUCGCCUCGGCGGGCGUCGGGAUCGUCGGGCGCGCGCCGCAGACAGGCUCCCGGAGGGCGUGCACUUCUCCCUCAGUAUAACACCGCGACCCGUUGGACGCGGGGUCGAACGCGUCGUGCGGCUGUCCCGCCUCGUCCCCUCAAAAAGGACGGGACGGAGCCGCGGCGUCGCGGCCCCCGUCCGACGGUAAAGAACGAGGAUCGCGUCCGCCCCCCGCUCGCGCGGGGGGCGUCCGUGGCGUCGCGGCGGCGUUCCCCGCGCAGACUUCGGCGCGAAAGCGUCGCGGGUUCUGCGCUCGGCAUCGCCGUUUUGCGGCGUCGUCUCGGACGGGACGCGUCCCGGUCGGCGGUGGUUUUGUUUCGGGCACUCACAGGACCC